GCAGCCUGAUGCAGCGACGCCGCGUGAGGGAUGACGGCCUUCGGGUUGUAAACCUCUUUCAGUAGGGACGAAGCGCAAGUGACGGUACCUAUAGAAGAAGGACCGGCCAACUACGUGCCAGCAGCCGCGGUAAUACGUAGGGUCCGAGCGUUGUCCGGAAUUACUGGGCGUAAAGAGCUCGUAGGUGGUUUGUCGCGUUGUUCGUGAAAACUCACAGCUCAACUGUGGGCGUGCGGGCGAUACGGGCAGACUAGAGUACUGCAGGGGAGACUGGAAUUCCUGGUGUAGCGGUGGAAUGCGCAGAUAUCAGGAGGAACACCGGUGGCGAAGGCGGGUCUCUGGGCAGUAACUGACGCUGAGGAGCGAAAGCGUGGGGAGCGAACAGGAUUAGAUACCCUGGUAGUCCACGCCGUAAACGGUGGGUACUAGGUGUGGGUUUCCUUCCUUGGGAUCCGUGCCGUAGCUAACGCAUUAAGUACCCCGCCUGGGGAGUACGGCCGCAAGGCUAAAACUCAAAGAAAUUGACGGGGGCCCGCACAAGCGGCGGAGCAUGUGGAUUAAUUCGAUGCAACGCGAAGAACCUUACCUGGGUUUGACAUGCACAGGACGUGCCUAGAGAUAGGUAUUCCCUUGUG
Molecule: ribosomal RNA, 635 nt
Filed under: Mycobacterium sp. So1Ps_511
Lineage: Bacteria; Bacillati; Actinomycetota; Actinomycetes; Mycobacteriales; Mycobacteriaceae
Also listed under: 1 other name
Description: bacterial SSU rRNA
Rfam family: Bacterial small subunit ribosomal RNA
Source: RNAcentral